AGGACGAACGCUGGCGGCGUGCUUAACACAUGCAAGUCGAGCGGUAAGGCCUUUCGGGGUACACGAGCGGCGAACGGGUGAGUAACACGUGGGUGAUCUGCCCUGCACUUCGGGAUAAGCCUGGGAAACUGGGUCUAAUACCGGAUAUGACCUCCUAUCGCAUGGUGGGUGGUGGAAAGAUUUAUCGGUGCAGGAUGGGCCCGCGGCCUAUCAGCUUGUUGGUGGGGUAAUGGCCUACCAAGGCGACGACGGGUAGCCGACCUGAGAGGGUGACCGGCCACGACUGGGACUGAGACACGGCCCAGACUCCUACGGGAGGCAGCAGUGGGGAAUAUUGCACAAUGGGCGAAAGCCUGAUGCAGCGACGCCGCGUGAGGAUGACGGCCUUGGGUUGUAAACCGUCUUUCAGCAGGACGAAGCGACAAGUGACGGUACCUGCAGAAGAAGACACCCGACGUAACCUACGUCGCCAGACCAGACCCGC
Molecule: ribosomal RNA, 484 nt
Filed under: uncultured soil bacterium
Lineage: Bacteria
Description: bacterial SSU rRNA
Rfam family: Bacterial small subunit ribosomal RNA
Source: RNAcentral